This 247-nucleotide ribosomal RNA is filed under the name uncultured Actinomycetales bacterium. RNAcentral describes it as "partial 16S ribosomal RNA". It matches the Rfam family "Bacterial small subunit ribosomal RNA", at positions 83 to 334 of the family's 1533-position model. The record is from RNAcentral. Lineage: Bacteria; Bacillati; Actinomycetota; Actinomycetes; Actinomycetales.
CAGGGUACUCGAGUGGCGAACGGGUGAGUAACACGUGGGUGAUCUGCCCUGCACUUCGGGAUAAGCUUGGGAAACUGGGUCUAAUACCGGAUAGGAGCCAUCUUUAGUGUGGUGGUUGGAAAGUUUUUCGGUGUAGGAUGAGCUCGCGGCCUAUCAGCUUGUUGGUGGGGUAAUGGCCUACCAAGGCGGCGACGGGUAGCCGGCCUGAGAGGGUGUACGGCCACAUUGGGACUGAGAUACGGCCCUG